This 1658-nucleotide unclassified non-coding RNA is filed under the name Hevea brasiliensis (rubber tree). Lineage: Eukaryota; Viridiplantae; Streptophyta; Magnoliopsida; Malpighiales; Euphorbiaceae. The record is from RNAcentral.
AAUUUCUUCUUCGUCUUCCUCUUCUUCAUCAGCAGUGAUUGGCAAACCAAUCGCCUUCUAGGCUGUGUUUUGAGCUUUCUCAAGGAGUCAUGGCAAAGCCUCAUGUCACCCUGGAGGUUGGAAACGACGGCGUUGCUGUCAUCUCCAUGUCCAAUCCUCCCGUUAACGCCUUAGCGCUUCCAAUUAUUACGGGGCUGAAGGAGAAGUUCGAUGAGGCCGCGAGAAGAAACGACGUUCAAGCUAUCGUUUUGACGGGCAAGCAUGGGAAAUUUUCCGGUGGAUUUGAUAUCAGUGUCAUGCAGAAGGUUCACCAGACUGGGGAUGUGUCACUUGUGCCUGAUGUAUCUGUUGAUCUUGUGGUCAACACAAUUGAAGAUUGCAAGAAGCCUGUUGUUGCUGCUGUGGAAGGACUAGCACUAGGAGGUGGCUUAGAACUAGCAAUGGGAUGUCAUGCACGUGUGGUUGCACCUAAAACUCAACUUGGCUUGCCGGAGUUGACACUUGGAAUAAUUCCUGGGUUUGGAGGUACACAACGUCUUCCAAGGCUUAUAGGACUGUCAAAGGCCAUUGAAAUGAUGCUGUCAUCCAAACCAAUCACAUCUGAAGAAGGGAUGAAGCUUGGUCUUGUUGAUGUUAUUGUGUCUUCUCAAGAACUGCUGAAAGUAUCUCGGCAAUGGGCUUUAGACAUCAAAGCGCGGCACAAACCAUGGAUGCGUUCUCUUUACAGGACAGAUAAGAUUGGCUCCCUGUCUGAGGCACGCAAGUUAUUGAAAGCUGCCAGACAACAGGCCAAGAAGACUGCCCCAAAUUUGCCUCAGCAUCAGGCAUGCCUUGAUGUGAUUGAAGAAGGUGUUGUUCGUGGAGGAUAUAAUGGAGUUCUAAAGGAAGCAAAAGUAUUCAAGGAGUUAGUCAUAUCAGACACAUCAAAAGGUCUUAUUCAUGUCUUUUUUGCUCAGCGUGCGACAUCGAAGGUGCCUAAUGUUACUAAUGUUGGGCUCAAAUCUAGGCAAAUAAAGAAGGUGGCUGUCAUUGGUGGAGGUCUAAUGGGUUCUGGCAUAGCUACUGCUCUUAUUAUGAGCAACAUAUAUGUUGUACUGAAAGAAAUAAACUCUGAAUAUCUUCUGAAAGGAAUAAAGAUGAUAGAAGCAAAUGUUCGAGGCUUAGUAACAAGAGGAAAGUUGUUACAGGAUAAGGCAGACAAAGCCCUUUCAAUGCUCAAAGGUGUAUUGGAUUACUCAGAAUUCAGAGAUGUUGAUAUGGUCAUAGAGGCAGUUAUUGAAAGUAUUCCUCUGAAACAAAAAAUUUUUAUUGAAAUUGAGAAGGCCUGCCCUCCUCACUGCAUCUUGGCAACAAAUACAUCUACCAUUGACCUCAAUAUAAUUGCAGAAAAGACCAGCGCUCAAGAUCGUGUUAUAGGUGCACACUUUUUCAGUCCUGCUCACAUAAUGCCUCUUCUGGAGAUUGUACGCACGGACAAGACUUCUGCGCAAGUAAUUCUUGAUCUCAUGACGGUUGGGAAAUCUAUAAAGAAAGUUCCUGUUGUGGUGGGUAACUGCACUGGCUUUGCAGUCAACCGCACUUUCUUCCCCUAUACACAAGGUGCACAUAUUCUGGUCAAUUUAGGUGUCGACGUGUUCAGAAUUGACAGGGUGAUCAGC